CAGUCUGCGUUACUGCGGCCUGGGGCCGGGGAGUGGGCUGAGCUUGGCUGCAGUUGUCAGCCAGAGCGCCAUCUGCGAGCUGCACCUCGAUGGCAAUUACUUGCAAUGUUCCGGGGCACUGGCUCUGCUCAGACCCAUAGCCGAGCAUGCAGAGAUGGAGGGAAAAGGCCAGUCAGCCACAGCCUCACUAGACACCAGAAGUUCCCUUCAGCUGCCCCCAGCUAGACAGGGAAGAAGUUCAACUUUGGACCACAUUACAAAAUCAUCUGAAGCUAUAACAGUGAAAACCACUUCAGGGAAGAAAAAGAGAAG
This is a long non-coding RNA of Tupaia belangeri chinensis (Chinese tree shrew), 312 nucleotides long. RefSeq lists it as uncharacterized. The transcript has 3 exons. Lineage: Eukaryota; Metazoa; Chordata; Mammalia; Scandentia; Tupaiidae. The record is from RefSeq and is a predicted model, not a curated record.